UUCAGGGCCUUCGGAGAAUAUGCAGAAUGUGUAAGUGCCACACUUUUGAAGGCAACAAUGUUUGGCUCCUUGCCUAAGGAUAGAGGCAGAUAUCAUGGGAGCCCAGGAGUGUGUGUGACCCCUACAGCCAGCACUAAUGAGUAUGGUAGGGAACCUCAAAGCCAUGCUCUGUAUUUUGUGUGAUGGUGAAGGCUCUGUCAUUUGCAUAUCCAAGAGAAAUACUUAUGGCCGCUAGAUAAACUUGUAGGCUGUAUAUAGGAUAUCUUAAUAUGUCAAUAGUUUGAUUAGUAUAAUAAAAACAGCACAGAAACCAUAAGACAUAAUAAACACAGCACAGAAAUCGUAAGACUAGCAGCAUGUGUAACCUCAACAGCUGUGGGGUUUAUAUGGCUGUAGAUAUGAUAAUAGCUGAGAUGUACAGUGUUUAUCAUGUGUCAAGCGUUGUCAUAGAGGUUUACAUCUAUAAACAUAUUGCGUCAUCACAUGUAGAAACUUCAUAACAAUCCUAUGACUUUAGGUAUUAUUAUCCACAUAUUACAGAUUAGGAAAAGAGGAACAAAGAGGUUUGGUAAUGCGUUCAAGAUCACAAUGAACAAAUGAUGACUUAAGCCCAUGUAGUCUGUUUCCAGAGUUCUCUUAACCACUGAAAAUGAUCAAAGACAAAGAAGAGGUAAAGAUUUCAACUUUCAGGAGGGUAUAUAGUAGUGGGAGCUGUGUAUCUGUGGGGAAAAGAAAAAGACUUUCAAAUAACACUGAUUUUAGGUUGUAUACCAAAUAGAGAUGUACAGAAAGCUAGACAAAGACAUGCUAAGGAAGAAGAUUCAAAAAAUGAUCAAGUUAUGUUUUGUACUCACUGCAAGUAAACAGAAAGUGUGAAUUACA
Molecule: long non-coding RNA, 882 nt
Organism: Herpailurus yagouaroundi (jaguarundi)
Lineage: Eukaryota; Metazoa; Chordata; Mammalia; Carnivora; Felidae
Exons: 2
Source: RefSeq, a predicted model, not a curated record